RNAcentral lists this transfer RNA (72 nucleotides) under Felis catus (domestic cat). It matches the Rfam family "tRNA". Rfam says of the family: Transfer RNA (tRNA) molecules are approximately 80 nucleotides in length. Their secondary structure includes four short double-helical elements and three loops (D, anti-codon, and T loops). Further hydrogen bonds mediate the characteristic L-shaped molecular structure. tRNAs have two regions of fundamental functional importance: the anti-codon, which is responsible for specific mRNA codon recognition, and the 3' end, to which the tRNAs corresponding amino acid is attached (by aminoacyl-tRNA synthetases). tRNAs cope with the degeneracy of the genetic code in two manners: having more than one tRNA (with a specific anti-codon) for a particular amino acid; and 'wobble' base-pairing, i.e. permitting non-standard base-pairing at the 3rd anti-codon position. RNAcentral also lists the same sequence under 3 other names. Lineage: Eukaryota; Metazoa; Chordata; Mammalia; Carnivora; Felidae. The record is from Rfam by way of RNAcentral.
GCCUCGUUGGCUCAGUCGGGAGAGCACGUGACUCUUGAUCUCAGGUUGUGAGUUCAAGCCCCACGCUGGGUG